This 262-nucleotide long non-coding RNA is filed under the name Mytilus galloprovincialis (Mediterranean mussel). Lineage: Eukaryota; Metazoa; Mollusca; Bivalvia; Mytilida; Mytilidae. The record is from RNAcentral.
GUCCGCGAAAGUAAAGACGUAAGAAAUGUAGUUGGAUUAUGACGUUAACAGUCGUUUAUACAAACUAAAAAUGAAUACGCCGGAAAAUAAACUGCAGACAUUUGAUUAACAACUUUUAAACCAAAGGUUAAUGACUUAAUUUAAACCAAACCGUGCUUUGUCGGCUAAAGCAAAGGUGUUUUAUUUUGGUGGCUUGAAGAAGAACUUGUAUCCUGCUCUCGACCUGUUUACUAUAGUCCCUGUCGAUACAAGUAGUAUUUGC